GACGAACGCUGGCGGCGUGCCUAAUACAUGCAAGUAGAACGCUGAAGGAGGAGCUUGCUUCUCUGGAUGAGUUGCGAACAGGUGAGUAACGCGUAGGUAACCUGCCUGGUAGCGGGGGAUAACUAUUGGAAACGAUAGCUAAUACCGCAUAAGAGUAGAUGUUGCAUGACAUUUGCUUAAAAGGUGCAAUUGCAUCACUACCAGAUGGACCUGCGUUGUAUUAGCUAGUUGGUGGGGUAACGGCUUACCAAGGCGACGAUACAUAGCCGACCUGAGAGGGUGAUCGGCCACACUGGGACUGAGACACGGCCCAGACUCCUACGGGAGGCAGCAGUAGGGAAUCUUCGGCAAUGGACGGAAGUCUGACCGAGCAACGCCGCGUGAGUGAAGAAGGUUUUCGGAUCGUAAAGCUCUGUUGUAAGAGAAGAACGAGUGUGAGAGUGGAAAGUUCACACUGUGACGGUAUCUUACCAGAAAGAGACGGCUAACUACGUG
This 495-nucleotide ribosomal RNA is filed under the name uncultured bacterium. Its description in RNAcentral is "partial 16S ribosomal RNA". It matches the Rfam family "Bacterial small subunit ribosomal RNA", at positions 28 to 507 of the family's 1533-position model. The record is from RNAcentral.